GAAAUAAAAUAACUAUCAUUCAUUUUUUAUUAUAAACUUAUAUUUGUUGAUAUGAAAGGAAAGCUCUUCUUACAUAAAUUCCCCAACUCCAACGUAGAUUUAAAGUUGAAAACAAUAGACAGACUCAAUGGCUUUAGAAAUAAUUUAGAAAUAUUACUUUUUUCUAGUUGCAUGGAAUUUCCAAUGUCUUUUACGGUGAAGACUCAAGAAUGUCCUAUUAUAUGUGCAUGGAGCAACUCAUUCCAGGUAUCAGGCAAUCCUGGAACACACCAGUGAAGACAAUCUGCAAACUCAGCUGGAUUUGCCUUUUGCUUUGGACCAUUUGUAUUGUAAAAUGAAGGAUGAGCAUCUUUCCUGUACUCUGAUAGGGUUGUUAUGUUAAGGAAAUGAACUGGUAUUUUCAUCGAUCCAAUCACAUUCGCAGCAAUUGCGGAAAUUUUCCUGUCUGUUCCCAAAUCUAAUGCCAUGGAAGUGUUUAGAAUUGGUAAUGUCUCACCAGCACAAUUAACACCAUUUGGAUUGUUCCAGUCUGAGCUCCUGUAUCAUUUGCACUCAGCUUGUUAAUAUCAUCGAUAUCUAUACAUUAUAGUCUGUUUGACAUAAAAGUUGAAACUGCUUCUCAAAAAAUGCCUAGCUAUCCCGAGGGAGACUUCAGAUGGAACCAGCUUUUAGAUGGUUGGAUUAGCCUUUCGCCUCUAUAGCCGAGUCAGAUAAACAAUUUGCACGUUAAUCGUAUCGCUAUAGAUAGCGGUGCAAAUGAGCUGAGCCGAGCUCGAACCUGUCAGGCUCGAAGCUUGGCUCGAUAAAAUUUAGCUUAGUUCGAAACUCAAUCUGGCCUGGAAAUUGUAAACUUGAACUCGGCUAGAUGAAAACUCGAGCUCACAAGCUCGACUUGAUGCUCGAGCUCAAUUAAAAAUUUUUUAAGCUCGAUAAAGUUCGACGAGCUUUUAAGCUGAAUAUCAUUAUGCUCAAAUUCGAUUCAAUCAAAUUUUUUUCAAGUUGAGCUCACGAAAUCAGCGCCGCUCUUUAACACUCUUAGAGCUGCGGGCUUCCACGAGAGUUUCCUCAGGCUGUCAUAGUUCACCAUUUGAAUUUUUGGUAAAAGCAAUUUGGGAGUAUUGUUCGUCUUAUAUGCAUCACCUCUAGAAGUUAAUAGUCUCUAAAUCUAAUCGAUAUAUUAAAAACUGUAUUUUCUUUUCAAUUUCAUAGUUGUAAAUAAUGCAUAGGAGACGAUCUCGUACCUGGAAUGGAUAGGAGAAGCAGAUCAAGCAUAAAAAUAAAAUAUCCCUUCUAUGAAAUAAAAUAACUAUCAUUCAUUUUUUAUUAUAAACUUAUAUUUGUUGAUAUGAAAGGAAAGCUCUUCUUACAUAAAUUCCCCAACUCCAACGUAGAUUUAAAGUUGAAAACAAUAGACAGACUCAAUGGCUUUAGAAAUAAUUUAGAAAUAUUACUUUUUUCUAGUUGCAUGGAAUUUCCAAUGUCUUUUACGGUGAAGACUCAAGAAUGUCCUAUUAUAUGUGCAUGGAGCAACUCAUUCCAGGUAUCAGGCAAUCCUGGAACACACCAGUGAAGACAAUCUGCAAACUCAGCUGGAUUUGCCUUUUGCUUUGGACCAUUUGUAUUGUAAAAUGAAGGAUGAG
This 1640-nucleotide long non-coding RNA is filed under the name Jatropha curcas. RNAcentral describes it as "long non-coding RNA (JCUR_LNC000335)". Lineage: Eukaryota; Viridiplantae; Streptophyta; Magnoliopsida; Malpighiales; Euphorbiaceae. The record is from RNAcentral.